AAACUGUGGACAUGCCAAUACACAUUACUGACAUGUAUGCCCACCUGACCUGCACCCACUCUGCAGGGCAGCGCUCGCCAUUGAAUGACUUCUAGGUGCUCCGGGGCACAGAGCUACAGCGCCGCUACAAGCGGUGGUGCCCGGGCCUUGGCAGGAGGAUGUGGCAGAUGCUGAAGAGUGUGCUGGUCGCUGUGGGCCCUUAAUGGACUGCCGGGCGUUCCACUACAAUGUGAGCAGCCAUGGUUGCCAACUGCUGCCAUGGACUCAACACUCACCCCACACGAGGCUGCGGCAUUCUGGGCGCUGUGACCUCUUCCAGGAGAAAGGCGAGUGGGGGUGGAGAGGGGCAGGGUGGGAGACAGGGGACCUCAGCCCAAGUUGAUCUUCUGUCUCUUGCUCCCAGACUACAUACGGACCUGCAUCAUGAACAAUGGGGUUGGGUACCGGGGCACCAUGGCCACGACCGUGGGUGGCCUGUCCUGCCAGGCUUGGAGCCACAAGUUCCCGAACGAUCACCAGUACAUGCCCACGCUCCGGAAUGGCCUGGAAGAGAACUUCUGCCGUAACCCUGAUGGCGACCCCGGAG
Molecule: long non-coding RNA, 586 nt
Filed under: Homo sapiens (human)
Lineage: Eukaryota; Metazoa; Chordata; Mammalia; Primates; Hominidae
Description: non-protein coding lnc-CROCC-3:9
Source: RNAcentral